This 2053-nucleotide long non-coding RNA is filed under the name Gallus gallus (chicken). RNAcentral's name for it is "long non-coding RNA NONGGAT008506". Lineage: Eukaryota; Metazoa; Chordata; Aves; Galliformes; Phasianidae. The record is from RNAcentral.
AAAGAAACUUGGAAAAAGACAAUUCCAGUAUACUUCCUGAAAGGAUUUUCAGUAAAAGACUAAUAAGCCAUAUACUGCGACAGUACUGUAAGUCAGAGGAAGAAGGCUAUGAAAUGGAGUGGGCAGCUACACACAUCAGGACCACUAAGGAGAAAGUUCUAGGUGAAGGCAGUCGUGAAGCACACACAUCCUACAGAAUGACCACGAUAUGGACUGCAGUUCUUCACACUGACAGCGUGAGAAGAAAGAAGAAACAGUGACGAAUUCACCCUGUGUAUUAAGGACCUCUACCACCUCCUCCCGUUAACCCCCACCUUACAUCCUUGUCCUGCACCUCUGGAAGCUCAUUUGUUAGUGCAAUGUCAUGUGUUCUCUUUAGUGCCUCAACUCAGGGUGCUGGUUGGAGGCAGCUGGGUGCUCCCUCCGUAUAAUAUGUGUCCUAGCCCAGGCUGAGGGGGCAAACCUGCUCCCUCUGGACUCUGUAUCCAGAUUAGGUAUGAGUUUGACAGAGAGCUGUUCUUCUUUGGAGUGUUAAUUCUGUCUUCAUUAGUGAAUUUAUGCAUAAAAGAAAGAAAACACGAACAGCACCAAUGUGAUCAUUCACCCAAGAGAUGUCCAUCCUGAAUCAAAGCAAACUGUGGCAGGUAAAAUCCAGCCUUUCAUUUCUGUUGGAAUGCAGCUGGCCAACCUCCCUUACCCUCCGAGCCACCUUAGAGGGUAAAGGGGCUAUGAACUUUGCAGAGAUUCACAAGUGGCACCCAACAUCCCACCAGUCUGCUGCAAGCACAAUGCUUUUAUUUUGAGACGAAGAGAUGAAGUCUGGGAAUCUACUGCGUGCCAAAGUCUUCCUGGAGAAUAUGGAGCUCCCUCAAAAUUGAGCUGGUGUGAAACUGCUCUGAGCCUACAAGUGCCUGCAAUACGACAAGUGCCUGCUGUACCACCACUCUCAUCUCUGAAACCAGUUUCUUCAUCGCCCCACAAUCGAUACAGAUGUUGCUGUAGUCAGGCAACAGAAUGCCAAUGCAGCACCCUGGGAACAGAGGAGCAGUUGUUUUCACCACAGCUUUCCCAUUUGGUUUAGCUCUGUCAGGCAAGGAAAGCACCUGCCUCUUUCCAACAAGAACUUAUUCAGCUUGAGCAUCUCCAUAUGAAACAAUUAAUGGAACAGAAAGGCAGUGAGAAGAAAUCCACCAAGGACUUCUGAGAAGUGAAGCUGCAGUCCUGCAAGGUGUGCCUAUUAAUGCCACAGGAGAGGGGCAAUAAUUAAAAAUGUGUUUUUCAGGACCACCGGCUGAACUAACAUGAACAGAGAUGCACAUGUGGUAAAGCAUCCUUCCUCCCACUCCAUCAGGCUGUACAUCAGUUAAGAUUUAUCACUGCUGAUGACAGAUACCUGACCUCACAUAACUCUUUAAGCACAGAGUUUUGUUGUAACAGUUGUAGUUAAAUAAAGUGUUAUUUCUCUUAAGCCUUAAAUAAAAGAACAGUGGAAAACAGUGGGAAGAAAUAAGCUUCACCCCUCAUACUGACCUGUUCAAGCGACUUGCCAGCCCACCCAAUGGCCUUCAUCUUUCUCCUUAUCUCCCAUUGCUUCUGAUAGGACAAAAUGCGGUUAAGAGGCCAGGGGUAAGGGGAGCCAUACCUCGGGUGAGUAAUCUUUGGUAAGAAACAGAAAGUGACUUUGUUAUCAUAUAAACAAUGCAGACAGCUCUAUUUACAAAACAGCUAGUAGUCUCAUCUUUCUAUCACUGAGAGCAAUAAAGAGAAAGAAUGUUGUGUGAUAUGCUGCAAUUAUUUGUGCAGAAUUUAUUGUUUUCAGUAGAACCAUUUAAAAUUACUACCUUGGAAACAUAUGCAAAACUCCUAUUUGUUCCACAGUCACAUACCUCCAGUCAAGUUACAACUUCCCUAAAAUGUAUAUGCAAGCAGAAUGCAAGUGAAAAGACUGUAUCAUUAAUGGUACAGAGCUCAAUGUUUCAUUUAUGAGUAGGGACUUCCAUUUGUGAGCAAAAGUGUUUUCUCAUUAAAUUUUAAUUAAGAUAAAUGUUGCAGA